GACGAACGCUGGCGGCGUGCUUAACACAUGCAAGUCGAACGGAAAGGCCUGCUUUCCCUUGUGGAUUGCGGGUACUCGAGUGGCGAACGGGUGAGUAACACGUGAGUGAUCUGCCCCCAACUUGGGUAUAAGCCUGGGAAACUGGGUCUAAUUCCCGAUAGGACUGCAGGGUGGUGCCUGUGGUGGAAAACGAUUUUCUAGUGGUUGGGGAUGAGCGCGCGGCCUAUCAGCUUGUUGGUGGGGUAAUGGCCUACCAAGGCGGCGACGGGUAGCCGGCCUGAGAGGGUGGACGGCGACAUUGGGACUGAGAUACGGCCCAGACUCCUACGGGAGGCAGCAGUGGGGAAUAUUGCACAAUGAGCGGAAGCCUGAUGCAGCGACGCCGCGUGGGGGAUGACGGCCUUCGGGUAGUAAACUCCUUUCGACCGCGAGGAAGCCACCUGGUUGGGAAGGUGGUGACGGUAGUGGUAGAAGAAGCACCGGCUAACUACGUG
This 494-nucleotide ribosomal RNA is filed under the name uncultured bacterium. RNAcentral's name for it is "partial 16S ribosomal RNA". It matches the Rfam family "Bacterial small subunit ribosomal RNA", at positions 28 to 507 of the family's 1533-position model. The record is from RNAcentral.